Molecule: small RNA, 120 nt
Filed under: Marmota monax (woodchuck)
Lineage: Eukaryota; Metazoa; Chordata; Mammalia; Rodentia; Sciuridae
Source: RNAcentral
GCUGGGCACGGUAGCACAUGCCUGUAAUCCCAGUGCUCAGGAGGCUGAGGCAGGAGGAUCAUGAGUUUAAAGCCAGCCUCAGCAAAAGCAAGGCCUUAACCAACUCAGAUCCUGUCUCUA